Molecule: ribosomal RNA, 253 nt
Filed under: uncultured bacterium
Lineage: Bacteria
Description: partial 16S ribosomal RNA
Rfam family: Bacterial small subunit ribosomal RNA
Source: RNAcentral
UACGAAGGGGGCUAGCGUUGCUCGGAAUGACUGGGCGUAAAGGGCGCGUAGGCGGAUGGCACAGUCAGAUGUGAAAUUCCCGGGCUUAACCUGGGGGCUGCAUUUGAUACGUGUUGUCUUGAGUUCGGAAGAGGGUCGUGGAAUUCCCAGUGUAGAGGUGAAAUUCGUAGAUAUUCGGAGGAACACCAGUGGCGAAGGCGGCUCACUGGUCCAUUACUGACGCUGAGGUGCGAAAGCGUGGGGAGCAAACAGG